This 344-nucleotide ribosomal RNA is filed under the name uncultured bacterium. Its description in RNAcentral is "partial 16S ribosomal RNA". It matches the Rfam family "Bacterial small subunit ribosomal RNA", at positions 338 to 699 of the family's 1533-position model. The record is from RNAcentral.
CCUACGGGUGGCAGCAGUGGGGAAUAUUGCACAAUGGGGGAAACCCUGAUGCAGCGACGCCGCGUGAGUGAAGCCGUAAUUCGGGAUGUAAAGCUCUAUCAGCAGGGAAGAAAAUGACGGUACCUGUGUAAGAAGCCCCGGUUAACUACGUGCCAGCACGCGCGGUAACACGGAGGGGGCAAGCGUUAUCCGGAUUUACUGGGUGUAAAGGGAGCGUAUACGGCAUUGUAAGUCAGAGGUGAAAGGCGGGGGCUCAACCCCCGGACUGCUCUGGAAACUGUACGGCUGGAGUGCAGGGGAGGUAAGUGGAAUUCCUGGUGUAGCGGUGAAAUGCGUAGAGAUUA